This 431-nucleotide ribosomal RNA is filed under the name uncultured bacterium. RNAcentral's name for it is "partial 16S ribosomal RNA". It matches the Rfam family "Bacterial small subunit ribosomal RNA", at positions 29 to 507 of the family's 1533-position model. The record is from RNAcentral.
AACGAACGCUGGCGGCAGGCUUAACACAUGCAAGUCGAACGCCCCGCGAGGGUAGUGGCAGACGGGUGAGUAACGCGUGGGAAUCUACCCUGAACUGCGGGAUAGCUCCGGGAAACUGGAAUUAAUACCGCAUGUGCCCUGAGGGGCAAAGAUUUAUCGGUUCAGGAUGAGCCCGCGUCCGAUUAGCUAGUUGGUGGGGUAAAGGCCUACCAAGGCGACGAUCGGUAGCUGGUCUAAGAGGAUGAUCAGCCACAUUGGGACUGAGACACGGCCCAAACUCCUACGGGAGGCAGCAGUGGGGAAUAUUGGACAAUGGGCGCAAGCCUGAUCCAGCCAUGCCGCGUGAGUGAUGAAGGCCCUAGGGUUGUAAAGCUCUUUCACCGGGGACGAUAAUGACGGUACCCGGAGAAGAAGCCCCGGCUAACUUCGUG